RNAcentral lists this transfer RNA (73 nucleotides) under Gemmatimonadota bacterium. Its description in RNAcentral is "Gemmatimonadetes bacterium (marine metagenome) tRNA-Thr". It matches the Rfam family "tRNA". Rfam says of the family: Transfer RNA (tRNA) molecules are approximately 80 nucleotides in length. Their secondary structure includes four short double-helical elements and three loops (D, anti-codon, and T loops). RNAcentral also lists the same sequence under 1 other name. Lineage: Bacteria; Pseudomonadati; Gemmatimonadota. The record is from RNAcentral.
GCUGGCGUAGCUCAAUUGGUAGAGCAGCUGCCUUGUAAGCAGCAGGUUAACGGUUCGAGUCCGUUCGCCAGCU